AAGUCGAGCGUGAAAUUUUCUAGCUUGCUAGAAAAUGGAAAGCGGCGAACGGGUGAGUAACAUGUUGGCAUCUGCCCCCAAGUCAGGGAUAGCCCACUGAAAAGUGGAAUAAUACCGGAUGGUCUCUUCGGAGUAAAGAUUUAUCGCUUGGGGAGGAGCCUACAUUCUAUCAGCUAGUUGGUGAGGUAAUAGCUUACCAAGGCUUUGACGGAUAAUUGGUCUGAGAGGAUGACCAGUCACAAUGGAACUGAGACAAGGUCCAUACUCC
This 268-nucleotide ribosomal RNA is filed under the name uncultured bacterium. RNAcentral's name for it is "partial 16S ribosomal RNA". It matches the Rfam family "Bacterial small subunit ribosomal RNA", at positions 59 to 339 of the family's 1533-position model. The record is from RNAcentral.